This 381-nucleotide ribosomal RNA is filed under the name uncultured eukaryote. RNAcentral describes it as "partial 18S ribosomal RNA". It matches the Rfam family "Eukaryotic small subunit ribosomal RNA", at positions 592 to 976 of the family's 1831-position model. The record is from RNAcentral.
CAAUAGCGUAUAUUAAAGCUGUUGCGGUUAAAAAGCUCGUAGUUGGAUUUCUGUCAAGGACAACUGGUCCGCCCUUCGGGUGAGCACAUAGUUUGGUCUUGGCAUCUUGUUGGAAACUGUUGCUGCACUUGGUUGUGUGGCGCAGUGUCCAGCACUUUCACUUUGAGGAAAUUGGAGUGUUUCAAGCAGGCACAUGCCUUUGGACACAGUAGCAUGGAAUAAUUAGAUUGGGCUUUUGCUCCAACUUGUCGGUUUCUGGAGCUGAGGUGAGAAUUAAUGGGGAUUGUUGGGGGCAUCCGAAUUUAGCCGUCAGAGGUGAAAUUCUUGGAUCUGCUAAAGACGGACAACUGCGAAANCGNNNGCCCAGGAUGUUUUCAUNGA